RNAcentral lists this ribosomal RNA (253 nucleotides) under uncultured bacterium. RNAcentral's name for it is "partial 16S ribosomal RNA". It matches the Rfam family "Bacterial small subunit ribosomal RNA", at positions 524 to 776 of the family's 1533-position model. The record is from RNAcentral.
UACAGGGGUCCCAAGCGUUGUUCGGAUUUACUGGGCGUAAAGGGCGCGUAGGCGGCGUGACAAGUCACUUGUGAAAUCUCUGGGCUUAACCCAGAACGGCCAAGUGAAACUGUUGUGCUAGAGUGCAGAAGGGGCAAUCGGAAUUCUCGGUGUAGCGGUGAAAUGCGUAGAUAUCGAGAGGAACACCAGAGGUGAAGACGGGUUGCUGGGCUGACACUGACGCUGAGGCGCGAAAGCCAGGGGAGCAAACGGG